Molecule: long non-coding RNA, 1639 nt
Organism: Daktulosphaira vitifoliae (grape phylloxera)
Lineage: Eukaryota; Metazoa; Arthropoda; Insecta; Hemiptera; Phylloxeridae
Exons: 4
Source: RefSeq, a predicted model, not a curated record
CAAAACCAUAACUAAUGUACAAAAUAAUUUUCCGGAGUUGCAAUUUCUGGUAUUGAAUAGAAUUUUUAUAAAAAUUGAACAAAUAAAUUAGCGUUUUCCGGGCACGAUAAUGAAAACUUCACGGCAUCGAAAUAGAGCAAGUCACGGCGUAUAUCUUCCAUUCAUAGAUGUUUUAAACCGUCAAGCGAAUAUAUUAAAAAUCACCGCACUGAGCUGUCAGGCAGCAUAUGCUCGUUGAACUCAGCGUAGUCACCGGCGUGUCAUUUACACACUGUAUAAUUGGCCACGACUUUAAUUAGUCCUGCAGGGUGGUCUGGAGUACACUUUUUUAUUGUGUCAAAGCUCAUUACAGCCAUAUCUCAAGUUCUUGCACAUUCAUUUUAAAAUCUCCAAAUCAGCACCAUCGAUGCUAAAUUAACACUGAUGAAUUGGAAGUGUCGAGCAAAACAAACGGUGAAAAAAAAUAGGUUAACUGCUUAAAUACGCAGAACAUAAUAUGUGUAGUCUUCUUUGAAAUGGUUUUAUGAUAUUCAUCGGCCGAUCGAAUCGUAUAAUCCUUUCGAUGACUUAAGGACCGUGAAUACGAAUGACGUGUGCAGCGCACAGUGGUCCAAUACGGUAAACGAAUAAAUAAAUAAAAAAGAGUAAGCAUUCAAAAUCGGUUUUCUACGCAGUGUGCGUAAAUGGCAUGACAGGACGCGUACCUUAACAAAAAAAAACAAAUUCGGCCGCUCGUGUGGCGCUCUGCCGCGGGAGGCCUGACAAAUUUUUAUGGGCAACGGUCAGGAAAUUUAAUUACGGUAAGCGAUCGGUUCAGGUGCUAUCACGAAUGACCCAUAUAAUAGGGUGAAAAACGAGAGUGGUGUCCUUGAAUAAUCCACGAAAACCGUAACGCCGAGGAACGACAACAAUAUGAUAAGUAAAAAAAUAAGAGACGUUUUCAAAACAGUUUUAAGAUUACACGUGUGCAGGCAAAGGGUUGCACGAGGACAAAAUAGAAGAUCGUGGCGUGACGUACGGUCGUAAAUAUACGGCAGUAGACAACAAUAACAGUAUAACUGUACGCGAAGAUUGCAGCGGACAGUGGUGAACGGAUAUUUACGGCCUUUUUUUCCCCUUUAAAUCCUUUCACCGUGAGGGUGUCGUCAAUAACAAAUCUAUUUUACCCGACCGUUUGGACCUCAGCACAAAUCGUUAACAGUAGGGAACAUUAACCAGAAGACGGUCAUUCCCACGCUCUUCCGGGUUCGCAGUAAGUUUAUGGGCGCACCUCACCUAGUGCUGAUGGAACGUUAUUAUCGCGGGAUUUCAAGAUGGUGGAAGUUCAGACACGGUAUUCGGAUUAACUCGAUUUUUUUAUGAGUACUGUAUAAAUACGCAUGUAACGUGACGAUAGAUGGGCAUGUGCUAUACCUAAUAUUAUUACCUUUAAAAUGAAAACGACAGUGGUAUACGAGUACAAAGCAGCCACCCCCUACUGGUGGGCUGACAACAUUUUUAUAGUGUCGACAUAGUUGACAACGCGUAAAUUAACAAAAUAAUCGAAUAAAAAUGUAAUAAAGCACUAAUAUCAUUAUAAAGCACUCGCACUAAUCAUAUAUGGUUAUAUUUAAUCAGAACUAAUACUCACAGUUGAGCA